This 473-nucleotide ribosomal RNA is filed under the name uncultured Bacteroidota bacterium. Its description in RNAcentral is "bacterial SSU rRNA". It matches the Rfam family "Bacterial small subunit ribosomal RNA", at positions 30 to 496 of the family's 1533-position model. The record is from RNAcentral. Lineage: Bacteria; Pseudomonadati; Bacteroidota.
UGAACGCUAGCGGCAGGCUUAACACAUGCAAGUCGAGGGGUAACAGGGAUUGCUUGCAAUCCGCUGACGACCGGCGCACGGGUGCGUAACGCGUAUGCAACCUACCUUUUACAAGGGGAUAGCCCAGAGAAAUUUGGAAUAAUACCCUAUACGAUCAUCAAUUGGCAUCAAUUAAUGAAGAAAACUCCGGUGGUAAAAGAUGGGCAUGCGUCCUAUUAGUUAGUUGGUAAGGUAACGGCUUACCAAGACUUCGAUAGGUAGGGGUCCUGAGAGGGAGAUCCCCCACACUGGUACUGAGACACGGACCAGACUCCUACGGGAGGCAGCAGUGAGGAAUAUUGGACAAUGGAGGCAACUCUGAUCCAGCCAUGCCGCGUGCAGGAAGACGGCCCUACGGGUUGUAAACUGCUUUUAUACAGGAAGAACUAUAUCUACGUGUAGAUAUUUGACGGUACUGUACGAAUAAGGAUCGG